This 82-nucleotide transfer RNA is filed under the name Phycisphaerae bacterium. RNAcentral's name for it is "tRNA-Leu". It matches the Rfam family "tRNA". Rfam says of the family: Transfer RNA (tRNA) molecules are approximately 80 nucleotides in length. Their secondary structure includes four short double-helical elements and three loops (D, anti-codon, and T loops). RNAcentral also lists the same sequence under 1 other name. The record is from RNAcentral. Lineage: Bacteria; Pseudomonadati; Planctomycetota; Phycisphaerae.
GCGGGUGUGGCGGAACUGGCAGACGCGCUGGAUUUAGGUUCCAGUGGGGCAACCCGUGGAGGUUCGAAUCCUCUCACCCGUA